Brachypodium distachyon (stiff brome) is the source of this 736-nucleotide long non-coding RNA. RefSeq lists it as uncharacterized. The record is from RefSeq and is a predicted model, not a curated record. Lineage: Eukaryota; Viridiplantae; Streptophyta; Magnoliopsida; Poales; Poaceae. The transcript has 3 exons.
GGAGUAUCACAGAGAUGAGGAUGUAGGUACAAGUAGCAGUACCAUCAAACCCACAACAGAGAACUCAAGAUUUCUGUCAUCCUUCACUUGCAAGUUCACAACCAUCAGCAUUGAGGUUUAAAUCUAAACUAGAUCGGUGCUUGGAGGAUGAUAUGGUGGACAUACAGACCGAAGGCUUCAAUGUUUUGGACUGGUGGAAGGUUGCAGGAACACGCUAUCCUACUUUGAGGAUGAUAGCUAGGGAUAUUUUUGCAAUUCCUAUUACAACCGUUGCUUCAGAAUCUGCGUUUAGCACAAGCGGAAGAGUACUUAGUGAGCACCGCAGCAGGCUCACCUCUCAAAUGUUAGAGGCUCUGAUGUGUUCGCAGGACUGGAUUAGAAACAAACAAAUACAAAGGAAUCCUUACUGAUGAAGGAAAACCUGCUAGCUUCUGAUCUUGUCUCAAUGAAGUUCAAGAGGGGCUUCAGGAGCUGAAACUUUGAACCCAUCGCUCCAGUUCUCUUUGGCAGGAUCAACAAUCAAGCACUCAAGCUGGCGUGUAACUGCAAAUUCAUUUUGUUAUGUGCUCACACAACUGAACCACUAACUAUUUGUGUAAUAGUCUGGUGUGUAAUGUGUGAUAACACUGGGGGAUUGUGUUGCUGCUAUGACUAUGUUAUAGUUAUGAUUGACUCUCUGAGCGACGAAGCCUAUGGGCUAUAACUAUGUAUGUAUUUUGAUGUUGAAUUGUUGAUA